CCUACGGGAGGCAGCAGUGGGGAAUAUUGGACAAUGGGGGGAACCCUGAUCCAGCGACGCCGCGUGAGUGAAGAAGUAUUUCGGUAUGUAAAGCUCUAUCAGCAGGGAAGAAAGAAAUGACGGUACCUGACUAAGAAGCCCCGGCUAACUACGUGCCAGCAGCCGCGGUAAGACGUAGGGGGCAAGCGUUAUCCGGAUUUACUGGGGGUAAAGGGAGCGUAGACGGCGAUGCAAGUCUGAAGUGAAAGGCGGGGGCGCAACCUCCGGACUGCUUUGGAAACUGUAUGGCUGGAGUGCAGGAGCGGUAAGUGGAAUUCCUAGUGUAGCGGUGAAAUGCGUAGAUAUUAGGAGGAACACCAGUGGCGAAGGCGGCUUACUGGACUGUAACUGACGUUGAGGCUCGAAAGCGUGGGGAGCAAACAGGAUUAGAUACCCGGGUAGUC
Molecule: ribosomal RNA, 443 nt
Filed under: uncultured bacterium
Lineage: Bacteria
Description: partial 16S ribosomal RNA
Rfam family: Bacterial small subunit ribosomal RNA
Source: RNAcentral